AACGAACGCUGGCGGCAGGCCUAACACAUGCAAGUCGAACGAGAAGCCACCUUCGGGUGGUGGACAGUGGCAGACGGGUGAGUAACGCGUGGGAACGUGCCUUUCGGUUCGGAGUAACCCAGGGAAACUUGGGCUAAUACCGGAUACGCCCUCCGGGGGAAAGAUUCAUCGCCGAAAGAUCGGCCCGCGUCGGAUUAGCUAGUUGGUGGGGUAAUGGCUCACCAAGGCGACGAUCCGUAGCUGGUCUGAGCGGAUGACCAGCCACACUGGGCCUGAGACACGGCCCAGACUCCUACGGGAGGCAGCAGUGGGGAAUAUUGGACAAUGGGCGAAAGCCUGAUCCAGCCAUGCCGCGUGGGUGAAGAAGGCCUUAGGGUUGUAAACCCCUUUCAGCGGGGAAGAUAAUGACGGUACCCGCAGAAGAAGUCCCGGCUAACUCCGUGCCAGCCGCCGCCCGUAA
This 460-nucleotide ribosomal RNA is filed under the name uncultured bacterium. Its description in RNAcentral is "partial 16S ribosomal RNA". It matches the Rfam family "Bacterial small subunit ribosomal RNA", at positions 29 to 523 of the family's 1533-position model. The record is from RNAcentral.